Molecule: transfer RNA, 60 nt
Filed under: Bacteroidales bacterium
Lineage: Bacteria; Pseudomonadati; Bacteroidota; Bacteroidia; Bacteroidales
Also listed under: 1 other name
Description: tRNA-Val
Rfam family: tRNA
About the family: Transfer RNA (tRNA) molecules are approximately 80 nucleotides in length. Their secondary structure includes four short double-helical elements and three loops (D, anti-codon, and T loops).
Source: RNAcentral
AGCUCAGCUGGUUCAGAGCAUCUGCCUUACAAGCAGAGGGUCGGGGGUUCGAAUCCCUCA